CAGAUUAGGAUUAUGCAGGAGGCGUCAAAGAAGGAUAAGGAAGAAUUGGGAGAAGAAAUUAAGGAGAGUGCAAGCAAGAUCUUGGAGGAGAUGUGAUCCUUGUUUGCAGUUACUAUAGUGGAAAAAAACAAGGGAAAUAAUUCUCGAGAAAUGAAGUGGCUGGGUCUUUUGCUGCUGUUCUCAGAGGGAAGGGAAUUCUACCCAAA
RNAcentral lists this unclassified non-coding RNA (206 nucleotides) under Hevea brasiliensis (rubber tree). The record is from RNAcentral. Lineage: Eukaryota; Viridiplantae; Streptophyta; Magnoliopsida; Malpighiales; Euphorbiaceae.